UAAUAUAAAUAAACAUUGUUGAAUUGAAAAAAAUAAAUCACAACCAAGUGAUGGUUAUGUAAUUUUCGUGCACUUGCAAAGCGGGAGCUUCUGGGAAGUGCAAACAUAUUUGCGCGGUUCUUCUUAAGUGUGGCAGGUUGUAUUAAAAUCUUGUUUUGCAAUUAAAUUUACUUUGUUUCUCUUUUAUUAUAAGGGAUAUUAUUGCAAACCUUGAAGAACGGAAAAAGGAUUUUUACGGUAAAUACGAAGCCAAACCUUUAAAAGAAUUAUGCUGCGCGAAGGAAAUUAGAAAAACUUGUAGGUCGUUAUCAGAGGCUGAAAGUUUAGAGUGUUUCAACACUUUAUUAAUGAAUCAGCCUAAUUCUGCUUUGAGUUGCCAUUGGUAAGUACUUUAAUAAAUCGUGUAAAAUACGAAAAUAUUGAAAAAAUAAAAAGAAAGCUUAGAUGAAGUAAGAGCUUUACGAUGGUAACAAAAGCUGUUUUUUUAGGCAAGGUCGUAAAAGUCUGUCUGAAACAGAAGUGCAGAGUCUCGAUUCUCAGGUCCCAGAUUGGUUAAAAGUGUUGUUCGUACACAUAAAUGCGUCUCAGUUUUUGAGCUCUCUAAAUAUAAGUAUGGAGCACUAUGGGCUAAAGGCGUGUUGCAAGGAAUUUUACAAGAUGUAUUUCCUAAAUUCCAUUCCAGAAAUGGUAGCCCUUACUUGCACAAGGGUGAAAAAUUGAACGAAAGCAUAGAUUAACAGAAUAUAUCUCGUUUCACAUCUAUCUACAAAUAUCACAACUGAAUUUUUGGAGUCAAAUGGGUAUGUUUAGGGACGAAUUGAGGGGCUUUUUACAUUUAUCCACACCAGAUAAUCUAUAAAGGGAAAAAUGGGGCUAAAUAUCUUAGGAAAAUAGGGACAGUAUUUCUGCCCCGUCAAGAAAACGCAGUCUCACAAGGGUAUCACGACAUUGUUUUGAUAAGUGUUUAAUGUAUAAUUUUCUGUUUAGGUUCUAGGUGUUAUUCAGUCUUCACCUACAGUCGAGACGAUUGGAAGAAAAAGGCGUUGAAUUACUUUAACGAAAGCAAGUUCAAUAAUAAAUAUGUGCAGCAUGGGAUUAAGUUUGAAAAAGAGGCUUUGCAAACCUAUAGGAAUCGGUUGAAUUAUGACAUUAAAGAACCUGGGUUUGUGAUCUCAAAAAGGUUUCCAUGGCUAGGAUAUUCCCCCGAUGAUAUUGUUUAUGAAAACGACCGCCCCAAAAGGCUUGUUAAAAUAAAAUGUUCCUUUGCUGGAAAAUCUGCAGAUACCAGUGGAACUUGUAAAUAUAUGUCCAUUUUUGGAUGUGCCAGCAGAAAGAGGGGUCACAUUAAAACAGCGCCAUCAAUACUAUGGGCAAGUUCAGUUAGGAUUAGUAGUCCUUAACUUAAGUGGUUGUGAUUUAAUCUUAUAUUUUCCUAAAUCUAAAUCUUUCAUUAAAAUAAUUGUUCCU
Long non-coding RNA from Tribolium castaneum (red flour beetle), 1467 nucleotides. RefSeq lists it as uncharacterized. Lineage: Eukaryota; Metazoa; Arthropoda; Insecta; Coleoptera; Tenebrionidae. The record is from RefSeq and is a predicted model, not a curated record. The transcript has 3 exons.